Molecule: ribosomal RNA, 415 nt
Filed under: Companilactobacillus paralimentarius
Lineage: Bacteria; Bacillati; Bacillota; Bacilli; Lactobacillales; Lactobacillaceae
Description: bacterial SSU rRNA
Rfam family: Bacterial small subunit ribosomal RNA
Source: RNAcentral
CAGACCUUGGUGAGUGGCGGACGGGUGAGUAACACGUGGGUAACCUGCCCAGAAGUGGGGGAUAACAUUUGGAAACAAGUGCUAAUACCGCAUAACAACAUUUAUCUCAUGAUUUUUGUUUAAAAGAUGGUUCUGCUAUCUCUUCUGGAUGGACCCGCGGCGUAUUAGCUAGUUGGUGAGGUAAUAGCUCACCAAGGCGAUGAUACGUAGCCGACCUGAGAGGGUAAUCGGCCACAUUGGGACUGAGACACGGCCCAAACUCCUACGGGAGGCAGCAGUAGGGAAUCUUCCACAAUGGACGAAAGUCUGAUGGAGCAACGCCGCGUGAGUGAAGAAGGUUUUCGGAUCGUAAAACUCUGUUGUUGAAGAAGAACAUAUGUGAGAGUAACUGUUCACGUACUGACGGUAUUCAACC